GACGAACGCUGGCGGCGUGCUUAACACAUGCAAGUCGAACGGUGAAGCUCCAGCUUGCUGGAGUGGAUCAGUGGCGAACGGGUGAGUAACACGUGAGCAACCUGCCCCUGACUCUGGAAUAAGCUCUGGAAACUGCGUCUAAUACUGGAUACGAGAACGUUCCGCAUGGGCACUUUCUGGAAAGUUUUUCGGUUGGGGAUGGGCUCGCGGCCUAUCAGCUUGUUGGUGAGGUAAUGGCUCACCAAGGCGACGACGGGUAGCCGGCCUGAGAGGGCGACCGGCCACACUGGGACUGAGACACGGCCCAGACUCCUACGGGAGGCAGCAGUGGGGAAUAUUGCACAAUGGGCGAAAGCCUGAUGCAGCGACGCCGCGUGAGGGAUGACGGCCUUCGGGUUGUAAACCUCCUUCAGCAGGGAAGAAGCGAAAGUGACGGUAACUGCAGAAGAAGCACCGGCUAACUACGUG
RNAcentral lists this ribosomal RNA (468 nucleotides) under uncultured bacterium. RNAcentral's name for it is "partial 16S ribosomal RNA". It matches the Rfam family "Bacterial small subunit ribosomal RNA", at positions 28 to 507 of the family's 1533-position model. The record is from RNAcentral.